UUUUUCACUAUUUUUAUUAUCACAUAUUGUACUAUGUUACUAGAUGAACAUGAUUGUUAACCACUCUAUCAUUAAAAAUGAUUCAAUUCCUCUGUAGCGAAUUUCUAUCGGAAGAUGAUAUUAUCUCGAUGACAUAUUAUCUCCAUUGUCAUUAAACAAAAAUCACGUAGUCAAGCUAGUCCGCCAAAACCAAGCGUCGCAUCACAUAUCGUAUCACGUGAUGUAUUUUUUAAUGUGACAAUGAAGAUAAUGUGACGUCACAUAUUCUCCGAUAUAUUAUUUGCUAUAGGGGAAUAGAAUCACUUUUAAUAGUAGAAGGGAUAGCGUACCAUAUCCAUCCAGCAACUCUAAUUUUGUAUAUCAUGGAGCAGAACCUUGUUUUAUGAAUUCAAGUAAUAUAUUAAAUUUUAUUGAAGAAUAUCAAAAUAAUAAUAAAUAUCAACAAAAAUUAUUAUAAAAAAAAUAUGGCAUAAAACAAAUUCAAUUAGUUGCAGAAAAAUUUUUAGCAGAAGAAUAUUUAAAGAAAUAUACUAAAUCAUGUUCAAAUUGUUCAACUAUGAUUGAAAAAAUAGAUGGGUGUAAUAAAAUGAAAUGUAUUCAUUGCAAUGCUUAUUUUUGUUGGCUUUGUGGAUCAUAUAUAACAAC
Molecule: long non-coding RNA, 645 nt
Organism: Apis dorsata (giant honeybee)
Lineage: Eukaryota; Metazoa; Arthropoda; Insecta; Hymenoptera; Apidae
Exons: 3
Source: RefSeq, a predicted model, not a curated record